UACGUAGGGGGCAAGCGUUGUCCGGAAUCAUUGGGCGUAAAGAGCGUGUAGGCGGCCCGAUAAGUCCGCUGUGAAAGUCCAGGGCUCAACCCUGGGAUGCCGGUGGAUACUGUCGGGCUCGAGUCCGGAAGAGGAGUGUGGAAUUCCUGGUGUAGCGGUGAAAUGCGCAGAUAUCAGGAGGAACACCAAUGGCAAAGGCGGGUCUCUGGGCCGAUACUGACGCUGAGGAGCGAAAGCGUGGGGAGCGAACAGG
Molecule: ribosomal RNA, 253 nt
Filed under: uncultured bacterium
Lineage: Bacteria
Description: partial 16S ribosomal RNA
Rfam family: Bacterial small subunit ribosomal RNA
Source: RNAcentral